AGAGUUUGAUCCUGGCUCAGGACGAACGCUGGCGGCGCGCCUAACACAUGCAAGUCGAACGAGAGAUGAGGAGCUUGCUCUUCAGAUCGAGUGGCGAACGGGUGAGUAACGCGUGAGGAACCUGCCUCAAAGAGGGGGACAACAGUUGGAAACGACUGCUAAUACCGCAUAAGCCCACGGCUCGGCAUCGAGCAGAGGGAAAAGGAGUGAUCCGCUUUGAGAUGGCCUCGCGUCCGAUUAGCUAGUUGGUGAGGUAACGGCCCACCAAGGCGACGAUCGGUAGCCGGACUGAGAGGUUGAACGGCCACAUUGGGACUGAGACACGGCCCAGACUCCUACGGGAGGCAGCAGUGGGGAAUAUUGCACAAUGGAGGAAACCCUGAUGCAGCGACGCCGCGUGGAGGAAGAAGGUCUUCGGAUUGUAAACUCCUGUUGUUGAGGAAGAUAAUGACGGUACUCAACAAGGAAGUGACGGCUAACUACGUGCCAGCAGCCGCGGUAAAACGUAGGUCACAAGCGUGUCCGGAAUUACUGGGUGUAAAGGGAGCGCAGCGGGAGACAAGUUGGGAGUGAAAUCCAUGGGCUCAACCCAUGAACUGCUUUCAAAACUGUUUUUCUUGAGUAGUGCAGAGGUAGGCGGAAUUCCCGGUGUAGCGGUGGAAUGCGUAGAUAUCGGGAGGAACACCAGUGGCGAAGGCGGCCUACUGGGCACCAACUGACGCUGAGGCUCGAAAGUGUGGGUAGCAAACAGGAUUAGAUACCCUGGUAGUCCACACCGUAAACGAUGAUUACUAGGUGUUGGAGGAUUGACCCCUUCAGUGCCGCAGUUAACACAAUAAGUAAUCCACCUGGGGAGUACGACCGCAAGGUUGAAACUCAAAGGAAUUGACGGGGGCCCGCACAAGCAGUGGAGUAUGUGGUUUAAUUCGACGCAACGCGAAGAACCUUACCAAGUCUUGACAUCCCUUGACGAACAUAGAAAUAUGUUUUCUCUUCGGAGCAAGGAGACAGGUGGUGCAUGGUUGUCGUCAGCUCGUGUCGUGAGAUGUUGGGUUAAGUCCCGCAACGAGCGCAACCCUUAUGGUCAGUUACUACGCAAGAGGACUCUGGCCAGACUGCCGUUGACAAAACGGAGGAAGGUGGGGAUGACGUCAAAUCAUCAUGCCCUUUAUGACCUGGGCUACACACGUACUACAAUGGCGUUAAACAAAGAGAAGCAAGACCGCGAGGUGGAGCAAAACUCAGAAACAACGUCCCAGUUCGGACUGCAGGCUGCAACUCGCCUGCACGAAGUCGGAAUUGCUAGUAAUCGUGGAUCAGCAUGCCACGGUGAAUACGUUCCCGGGCCUUGCACACACCGCCCGUC
Molecule: ribosomal RNA, 1366 nt
Filed under: uncultured bacterium
Lineage: Bacteria
Description: bacterial SSU rRNA
Rfam family: Bacterial small subunit ribosomal RNA
Source: RNAcentral